RNAcentral lists this unclassified non-coding RNA (279 nucleotides) under plant metagenome. RNAcentral's name for it is "partial contains small subunit ribosomal RNA, internal transcribed spacer 1, and 5.8S ribosomal RNA". The record is from RNAcentral.
UUUCCGUAGGUGAACCUGCGGAGGGAUCAUUACAGAGUUCUCGCCCUCGCGGGUAGAUCUUCUACCCACUGUUAUCGCUACUGUGUUGCUUUGGCGGGCUGCCGGGUCCCGCUCGGCCGCUGGUAGCCGUUGGCGCGCCGCCGGCAGAGGCCCUGCCAACACUGACUGUAAUUGUUGCCUGAGUACUUUAUAAUAGUUAAAACAUUCAAUAACGGAUUUCAUCGAUCUGGCUUCGAUGAAGAACGUCGCAGAACGACACAGCACAAGGCUGGACCACAC